This 246-nucleotide ribosomal RNA is filed under the name Escherichia coli. RNAcentral describes it as "partial 23S ribosomal RNA". It matches the Rfam family "Bacterial large subunit ribosomal RNA", at positions 2111 to 2356 of the family's 2925-position model. Lineage: Bacteria; Pseudomonadati; Pseudomonadota; Gammaproteobacteria; Enterobacterales; Enterobacteriaceae. The record is from RNAcentral.
UUGACACUGAACAUUGAGCCUUGAUGUGUAGGAUAGGUGGGAGGCUUUGAAGUGUGGACGCCAGUCUGCAUGGAGCCGACCUUGAAAUACCACCCUUUAAUGUUUGAUGUUCUAACGUGGACCCGUGAUCCGGGUUGCGGACAGUGUCUGGUGGGUAGUUUGACUGGGGCGGUCUCCUCCUAAAGAGUAACGGAGGAGCACGAAGGUUGGCUAAUCCUGGUCGGACAUCAGGAGGUUAGUGCAAUG